CCAUUUCUUCCCUGAUCAGGGCAUUUUUUAAGAAAUUGCAACUACUGGGGCCAAGUCUCAAUAAGGACCUUUUCCCGAAUUUCCCCGCACAGUUAUGCCUAAUUUUUCGUAAUUUUUUCGUACAUUUCUCUAAAUUUUAGCUACAAUUAUUAGUUUUUAAUUAGUGUCACUCAAAUAUUUUAGUUUCUUUCCUUCCUAUCCAACUGGGAUUAGAUCAUUUGCCGACUACCUGACGACCGGGGGAGUUCAACCCUCCCCCCCCCACCCCCUUUAGUGCCACCCCUGCCUGUUCUGACUUUCAUAAGAUGGAAUAUCAAGAAUGUGAGAAGAUAUUAGAUAUGAGAAAGCAGGCAGCUUUUUCAAAAGCGCCCAGUUCGUCUGAAAAUCUUGCUUCACUACUGGAGCAAGCAAAGGGCUUACUGGGGUAAAUUCCCCAGUAGUUAUAUUGAAAUUAUAUAGUUAAAAAAUGCCCUCCUUCUCUUCCAAUAAAUUAGAAAAAAAGUAGUCAUAUAUAUAGUUCUUAUUAACUAGUUAAUACCUUAAAGUUUUAUUGCACACGAACCAACAAACGCGCCUCAAAGCAGUCCGAAAAGACAUUUUCUUAACAAUUACAUCCGGUGUCAAAUAUAGCCUAUACUAAAAUAACUAUCAAGAAUUGUUUUUAAAUAUAUAAAUUUCGCGACCGCUAUUCUAUAGGAAUAAUAGGAUUUUCCUAAACUUUCAUAUAUUGUAUAAAUUAUAUGUUCUUUCAUUUGGUUACUCCACGCAGAGACUUACACGUAAGUGGUGCAAGCCUAUAAACAAGCGACAAUCCGUCUCAAAAUGGACGAUGUCACAGAAUAAGGAUCUGACUCGCCCCGGCGGCUCGUGCAAUUUUGGCACAUUUUUCAAAUAUCACUCGUAGUGUUAAUCAUUAGCGUACUUAGGCAAACGACGUUUUUCUCAACACGAAAGUCACCUGAAAAUUGGUAUGACUAAUUUUGACGGUAUUUUGCAUCAUGGCGCUCGUGUAAGCAAGCAAAAAACUUAAACUAAAAUCUUAUGUUUUGUCACAUGUGAUGAAGAUUACUACAAACUGAUACAAACACAGUUUUGAGUCCAGUCCCCCCUCGGCAAUCUGACGUCAUUGUUGACAACAACGUCGUUUGCUUAAGCUCACUAUUAAUUGCACUCCUUCCCGUGUGAUUACCUCUACAAAUUAUACAUUGUCAUUGAGAGACAUCGCUCUGGAGACACCGGAGGCACAUUACAUUAGCUUUACCUCAACCACGCAUUGAAAAAUAGUUUUAGCUCCAGUGGUGCGGUACUGUGGAACACCCUUCCAGUCGAGAUACG
This is a non-coding RNA of Paramuricea clavata, 1335 nucleotides long. Lineage: Eukaryota; Metazoa; Cnidaria; Anthozoa; Malacalcyonacea; Plexauridae. The record is from the annotation of a GenBank genome assembly.